This 432-nucleotide ribosomal RNA is filed under the name uncultured soil bacterium. RNAcentral's name for it is "bacterial SSU rRNA". It matches the Rfam family "Bacterial small subunit ribosomal RNA", at positions 50 to 526 of the family's 1533-position model. The record is from RNAcentral.
AACACAUGCAAGUCGAACGGGCGUAGCAAUACGUCAGUGGCAGACGGGUGAGUAGCACGUGGGAACGUACCUCUUGGUUCGGAACAACACAGGGAAACUUGUGCUAAUACCGGAUAAGCCCUUACGGGGAAAGAUUUAUCGCCGAGAGAUUGGCCCGCGUCUGAUUAGCUAGUUGGUAGGGUAAUGGCCUACCAAGGCGACGAUCAGUAGCUGGUCUGAGAGGAUGAUCAGCCACAUUGGGACUGAGACACGGCCCAAACUCCUACGGGAGGCAGCAGUGGGGAAUCUUGCGCAAUGGGCGAAAGCCUGACGCAGCCAUGCCGCGUGAAUGAUGAAGGUCUUAGGAUUGUAAAAUUCUUUCACCGGGGACGAUAAUGACGGUACCCGGAGAAGAAGCCCCGGCUAACUUCGUGCCAGCAGCCGCGGUAAUAC